AGACACAAACAGGGAGUGAGUCAUCACGAUCAGUACUAUUGCAGUCUCUUCUGGUUCUCUUUACCCAUUACACAUGUUAACUGUAAGAUGAAUGCCCACCAGCAUACGUAGUGUUAGUGAAAUCUCUAAAUGUCAUUCUGACUUAACUGUCACAAUAUCUGUGUUUUUCUCUCUCUAGAUCAUAUCCUCCACCUUUGCUUUAGACACGUGGAGAAAUAGGUUGAAGUCUUCCCAUACUCCUGGUGGCCGCCGAGGGGCCCCGCGCACCGAUGACAUCAGCGCUGCGUCUGGAGGAGGCCGUGACAGCCACUACAUGUGAACAUAUUAAAAUCUUUGGCUUGUCUGAGUCUGCGGACUGGUGUGUGGAAGGAAAAUAUGGCGCAAGGAUGGAGGGGGGACAGGAGACCACAAGAACCUACAAAGCCAAUUAGACAUCCUAAAACAACGAGGACAGAAACGACGAGAUGCUGCUGAAAUGAAAUAUACUGUAUACAACAUGAUAACUGUGUGGCUAUAUAAACUUUAAUAACGAUCGUUCAUUUAUAUAAUUAUGUCCAUAUACUGUUACCAUAAACAGAAAUCUGUGUUUUUAAAUAGCGUCGCCUCCGCUUCCAGUUCAUUUGUCGUUAUGUCCAAAAGCCAAAGAGUCAGUAGCGGCCCCGAG
Molecule: long non-coding RNA, 664 nt
Filed under: Betta splendens (Siamese fighting fish)
Lineage: Eukaryota; Metazoa; Chordata; Actinopteri; Anabantiformes; Osphronemidae
Description: lncRNA (ENSBSLG00000023671.1)
Source: RNAcentral